CAACGCGAACAACAUUACCGAAUAAUGACUUCCUCUGACCCACUUGGAGACAGGGGGUCCCUUAGGGACAGAGUGACAGGUGGUGCAUGGUUGUCGUCAGCUCGUGUCGUGAGAUGUUGGGUUAAGUCCCGCAACGAGCGCAACCCUUAUCAUUAGUUGCCAGCAUUCAGUUGGGCACUGUAAUGAGACUGCCGGUGACAAACCGGAGGAAGGUGGGGAUGACGUCAAAUCAUCAUGCCCCUUAUGAUUUGGGCUACACACGUGCUACAAUGGACAGGUUACAAAGGGCAGCUACGCCGCGAGGCCAAGCGAAUCCCAUAAAACUGUUCUCAGUUCGGAUUGGAGUCUGCAACUCGACUCCAUGAAGCUGGAAUCGCUAGUAAUCGUGGAUCAGAAUGCCACGGUGAAUACGUUCCCGGGUCUUGUACACACCGCCCGUCACACCACGAAAGUCGGUAACACCUGAAGCCGGUGGGCCAACCUCUUGGAGGCAGCCGUCGAAGGUGGGACCGAUGUUUAGGGUGAAGUCGAACAAUGACGCUUGCCCGCAAG
Molecule: ribosomal RNA, 552 nt
Filed under: Salinicoccus sp. B-WPyG1
Lineage: Bacteria; Bacillati; Bacillota; Bacilli; Caryophanales; Staphylococcaceae
Description: bacterial SSU rRNA
Rfam family: Bacterial small subunit ribosomal RNA
Source: RNAcentral